This 468-nucleotide ribosomal RNA is filed under the name uncultured bacterium. Its description in RNAcentral is "partial 16S ribosomal RNA". It matches the Rfam family "Bacterial small subunit ribosomal RNA", at positions 28 to 507 of the family's 1533-position model. The record is from RNAcentral.
GAUGAACGCUGGCGGCGUGCUUAACACAUGCAAGUCGAACGAUGAAGGCGGAGCUUGCUCUGCUGGAUCAGUGGCGAGCGGGUGAGUAACACGUGAGCAAUCUGCCCCUGACUCUGGGAUAAGCGCUGGAAACGGCGUCUAAUACUGGAUACGAGCUGCGAAGGCAUCUUCAGCAGCUGGAAAGAACUUCGGUCAGGGAUGAGCUCGCGGCCUAUCAGCUUGUUGGUGAGGUAACGGCUCACCAAGGCGUCGACGGGUAGCCGGCCUGAGAGGGUGACCGGCCACACUGGGACUGAGACACGGCCCAGACUCCUACGGGAGGCAGCAGUGGGGAAUAUUGCACAAUGGGCGAAAGCCUGAUGCAGCAACGCCGCGUGAGGGACGACGGCCUUCGGGUUGUAAACCUCUUUUAGCAGGGAAGAAGCGAAAGUGACGGUACCUGCAGAAAAAGCGCCGGCUAACUACGUG